Molecule: non-coding RNA, 46 nt
Organism: Rattus norvegicus (Norway rat)
Lineage: Eukaryota; Metazoa; Chordata; Mammalia; Rodentia; Muridae
Source: Rfam
CCAAAGGCUCUUUUCAGAGCCACCUACACUUUCAGUCAAAAAGUCU